Molecule: long non-coding RNA, 1071 nt
Filed under: Piliocolobus tephrosceles (Ugandan red Colobus)
Lineage: Eukaryota; Metazoa; Chordata; Mammalia; Primates; Cercopithecidae
Description: lncRNA (ENSPTEG00000013810.1)
Source: RNAcentral
AUGUUAUUUAAUAACUUAAAAAUAUAUAAAGAUAAUAAAAUUCAUCACGAGUUCUGUUUUGCUUUAAAUGAUAAAAAACCAUUAACUAUUAACAGUUAUAUUGUACAUGCAGGAAAUACAUCUUAUACGUUAAAAUUAGAUUUUUUUCAAUCCGAAGAGUUAGUAUUCGAUAUAUAUACUACAUAUGUAAAUGUAAAUAAAAAUACAUUAAAACCACAAAAAGUUUUAAAAAUUAAUAAUAUACAAGAAAUACAAAUAUAUGACAAAAUAAAUGAAUUUGCAGGUUUACUUAAAUAUAUACAGACCUUAUUUAAUCAUAAAAAUAUUAGACUCAUGCAUAUAAAUCAAAGUGAUAUAAUAUUUUUAACCAACUACUUUAAAAAUAUAGAAAUAAAAAAAAAUCCUUGUACUAAUCAAAAUGUAAAUAAAAAUGUAAAUACAAAUGCAAAUACAAAUGCAAACACAAAUGCAAACACAAAUGCAAAUACAAAUGCAAAUACAAAUGCAAAUACAAAUGUAAAUACAAAUGUAAAUACGAAUAUAUAUGAAGAUAUGGAUUUUGGAAAUGUCGCUGAAAAAAAUAAAAUAAUUAACAAUUUUUCAAUAAUUGAAAAAAUAUUUAAUUAUAUAGAUCAUAACAAACAAAAUGUUGUAAAUGGUGUUGGUAAAGAAGAUGAAAAAAAUUCUGAACAAUGUACCACUACUACUACCACUACUACUACUACUACUACUACUUCUACUACUACUACUACUACUUCUACUGAUACCGAUAAGGAUGAAAAAGAUUUAUAUUUUCAUAUUGCUCAAAAUAAUUACUAUUGCAAAGACUCGUACAUAGAAUCAAAAUAUUUUAUUUCAUCCGAAUACCGUAAUAUACAUAAUUUUACAUUUGGAGGAUAUAUAGCUUAUUUAUCUUUUUGUCAUGCAAUGACUAUUAUAAAACAUUUUAUUGAUAAACCUAUUCUAAUCGAAAUAAACGACAUACAAUAUAUAUUACCUGUACCAUGUAAUUCAGUUGUUUCAUAUAGAGGAAAAGUAAUUUAUUCAAAUAAAAAAAAAUUCAAGUUUUAA